This 254-nucleotide ribosomal RNA is filed under the name uncultured bacterium. Its description in RNAcentral is "partial 16S ribosomal RNA". It matches the Rfam family "Bacterial small subunit ribosomal RNA", at positions 524 to 776 of the family's 1533-position model. The record is from RNAcentral.
UACGUAGGUGGCAAGCGUUGUCCGGAUUUACUGGGCGUAAAGAGCGCGCAGGCGGUCGAAUAAGUCGAAUGUGAAAGCCCCCGGCUUAACUGGGGAGGGUCAUUCGAUACUGCUCGACUUGAAGGCAGGAGAGGGAAGUGGAAUUCCCGGUGUAGUGGUGAAAUGCGUAGAUAGUCGGGAGGAACACCAGUGGCGAAGGCGACUUCCUGGCCUGUUCUUGACGCUGAGGCGCGAAAGCUGGGGGAGCAAACGGG